This 1736-nucleotide long non-coding RNA is filed under the name Manduca sexta (tobacco hornworm). Its description in RNAcentral is "uncharacterized LOC119192226, transcript variant X1". Lineage: Eukaryota; Metazoa; Arthropoda; Insecta; Lepidoptera; Sphingidae. The record is from RNAcentral.
GACAAUCAUAACUUCAGAUAAUGCGUUAUAUUUCAAACUUAUAUCAUAAAUAGUAUCAAAACCGUAUUGCAUCCAGAAUCAAAUCCAAUGGAGAUUUAUACCAGAACUGGCUCCACGGUUUGGCGGUUUCUAUGAAAGAUUAAUAGGCUUGGUUAAGCACUGCAUGAAGAGGACGUUUCAGAAACACUUACUGAAGGAUACCCAGUUGAUGACAGUAAUGAAAGAAAUUGAGGCAAUAUUAAAUACGAGACCAUUAAUGACUGUAGACACUAAAAUGGAACAUGUUCUCACACCAGCCGACUUCCUUACAGCUGGUAGAUGUAUCACCUUAGUAGAUUCGCAGGAAAAAUUACUACUAGAAGGUGCAACUACAAAGGUAGACCUAGUAAAGAGCUGGCGAAAAGUUAGAAUAGUUCUAGAGGAGUUAAAAGAAAGGUUUGAAAACCAAUAUCUUCCGAGCCUGAGGGAACAAUAUUGGAAUUCUCACAAUGAUCCUAGAAUAUUAUCGAAGGAGUUACCUAAAGUAGAUCAGAUUGUACAGAUCAAAGAAAAUAAAAACCGUGAAGAUUGGAGAGUUGGCAAAAUAGUUUCUCUUAUUAGAGGAUCUGAUAGUUAAUGGAACCGAUUAACGAGAUUGAAUUACCUAUUGACAAUGCAGAGUCGAUCAGAGGUGAUAGCACAGUAAUAAAUGAAAUUAGCAAUAAUUUAGAUGAACAACUAGAUAAAAUACCACUCCGUAUAGCGAAAGUUUAGGCGCUGAAAAAGAUAAGAACGGACGAAGGAGUUGUCAAAUCAAUAUCUCUUUCCUUUCGGGCGGGAGUGUCGCGAAAGGUCGCGAAAUCAUUGAAAGGCUGGCAACACCAAAGUGAGUAUUUGCUGAUGUAUACAUAGAUAUUGUGAGUAUGUUCCUAUAUUUACGCAGAUAUUGUGAGUAUCUUUCACCAAAUAUAAGUAUAUUAUAUUAUGAAUAUUGUCCAUAGAUAGAAUACUAUAUCGUCUAUGUGUAUUAAGUGAGUUUUGCACACUUUUCUGUUGAGAGUACCGCGUACAGAAUAUAUCUUGCAUGAGUGAGUGAGUGGUUUACUGUAGUACCAACAUUCCCUGACUAUAAAGUUACAAUAUGGCCGAAAGUACAAAUGCGCGCCAUUUAAGUAGAACUUUGAAGUUGUGUUUAACUAAAGAUCUAAACAUAUAAAUGAGCGGUCUCUCUGAUGUGACACGAUAAGGAAUUUGCCGCCAUCUAGGAAUGUUGUCUUGGAAAACCACAGUCCGUAUAACACAGAACAUUACAAGGUGCGACAUCAUCGCACGUGAUAUUUUACCUUUUCGCCACUAAACCCCCAAACGGGCGAAAACACCGAGAUAGUGAAAAGAAAAUCCAACAUAUUGCAAAACUCGAAGAUCGAACCCUAGACCUUCAGCACUGUAGUCGUAUCAUAUAACUACGCCACUGAGGCAGUAGGUACCAGCUGACAUUUACAUAUGUACAGCCUGAUCUGCAUGGAUUUGAUAUUUAACAUCUUCAUCUUCGAUAUAGUUAUAAAAGAAAUUUAAUGUAUCGACAGUGGUCUUACUCUAUUAGUCGGAAUUGUCUUUUAGUAAUAAAUUUUAUGCAUAAGAUGUACUUACUUAUUUAGUAGGUCAGUGUGCAAAAAUAAGGUGAUUCAUUUAUGUUGUAAGUAUAAACAUUAAAAGUGAUUUUUGUUUGAGUAGGGAUACGAUGAACUCACUAACAA